Molecule: transfer RNA, 73 nt
Filed under: Deltaproteobacteria bacterium
Lineage: Bacteria; Pseudomonadati; Myxococcota; Myxococcia
Description: tRNA-Ala
Rfam family: tRNA
About the family: Transfer RNA (tRNA) molecules are approximately 80 nucleotides in length. Their secondary structure includes four short double-helical elements and three loops (D, anti-codon, and T loops). Further hydrogen bonds mediate the characteristic L-shaped molecular structure. tRNAs have two regions of fundamental functional importance: the anti-codon, which is responsible for specific mRNA codon recognition, and the 3' end, to which the tRNAs corresponding amino acid is attached (by aminoacyl-tRNA synthetases). tRNAs cope with the degeneracy of the genetic code in two manners: having more than one tRNA (with a specific anti-codon) for a particular amino acid; and 'wobble' base-pairing, i.e. permitting non-standard base-pairing at the 3rd anti-codon position.
Source: RNAcentral
GGGGGAUUAGCUCAGCUGGGAGAGCGCGGGCUUUGCAAGCCUGAGGUCGAGGGUUCGAGUCCCUUAUCCUCCA